GGGCCCGCACAAGCGGUGGAGUAUGUGGUUUAAUUCGAUGCAACGCGAAGAACCUUACCAACACUUGACAUGUUCGUCGCGACUUUAAGAGAUUAAAGUUUUCGGUUCGGCCGGACGAAACACAGGUGCUGCAUGGCUGUCGUCAGCUCGUGUCGUGAGAUGUUGGGUUAAGUCCCGCAACGAGCGCAACCCUCACUUUUAGUUGCCAUCAUUUAGUUGGGCACUCUGAAAGAACUGCCAGUGAUAAGCUGGAGGAAGGUGGGGAUGACGUCAAGUCCUCAUGGCCCUUACGUGUUGGGCUACACACGUGCUACAAUGGUAUCUACAACAGGAAGCAAGACGGCGACGUUAAGCAAAUCCUUAAAAGAUACCUCAGUUCGGAUUGUACUCUGCAACUCGAGUACAUGAAGCUGGAAUUACUAGUAAUCGUGGAUC
Molecule: ribosomal RNA, 435 nt
Filed under: uncultured bacterium
Lineage: Bacteria
Description: bacterial SSU rRNA
Rfam family: Bacterial small subunit ribosomal RNA
Source: RNAcentral